Molecule: ribosomal RNA, 1062 nt
Filed under: Triticum aestivum (bread wheat)
Lineage: Eukaryota; Viridiplantae; Streptophyta; Magnoliopsida; Poales; Poaceae
Description: partial small subunit ribosomal RNA
Source: RNAcentral
AUGGCGGAUCCUCGGGCGUGGAACCCCAACUACGGUGUGGUGGGCAGCGGCGACCGCCGGCUGGCCUACUCCCGCCAGCCCUCCUUCUCCUCCUCCCCGCGCCCGGGCCCCGGCCUCGCCCGCUCCGACUCCUCCAUCUCCAUGCCCGCGCCCCUCGCGCAGCCGCCCAAGGCACCUGACGUCCGGUACCGCUGGCUCGCCACCCGCCCGAUGCGCCGCCUCGCGCUCCUGCUCGCCCUCAACGCCGCCUACUCCGCCGUGGAGCUGGCCGUGGGCCUCCUCACGGGGCGCGUGGGCCUCGUCUCCGACGCCUUCCACCUCACCUUCGGCUGCGGCCUGCUCUCCUUCUCCCUCUUCGCCAUGGCCGCCUCCCGGACCAAGCCAGACUCCACAUACACCUACGGGUACAAGAGAUUGGAGGUCCUCGCCGCCUUCACCAAUGCCCUGUUCCUGCUGUUCAUGUCUUUCUCCUUGGCUGUCGAAGCGCUGCACUCGUUUAUGCAGGAUGAGUCCGAGCACAAGCAUUACCUCAUUGUUUCUGCAGUCACAAACCUUUUGGUCAACUUACUUGGUGUCUGGUUCUUCCGGAGCUAUGCUCGUGUUAACAUAGUGUACAGGAAAGCAGAGGAUAUGAACCAUCACUCCAUCUGUUUGCAUGUUCUGGCAGAUUCAGUGCGGAGUGCAGGCUUGAUACUAGCUUCUUGGUUUCUUUCAUUGGGGAUUGAGAACGCAGAGGUGUUGUGCCUGGGAAUAGUUUCGGUGGCGGUGUUCAUGCUUGUUAUGCCUCUGUUCAAAGCCACGGGCAAUGUCCUGCUGCAGAUUGCGCCUGGCAACGUGCCACCUUCAGCCUUCAUCAAGUGCGGCAGACAGAUUACUGCUUGUGAGGAUGUCUCUGAGGUAUCCCAGGCUCGGUUUUGGGAGCUUGUGCCUGGUCAUGCCGUUGGUUGCCUCUCCAUCCGGCUCAAGAAUAGCAGUGAUGAUGAAUCGGUGCUCGAAUACGUGCAUGGACUGUACGAGGAUCUAGGGAUACAUGACCUGACCAUCCAGACCGAAAAAUCUUAG